This 329-nucleotide unclassified non-coding RNA is filed under the name soil metagenome. RNAcentral describes it as "partial contains 5.8S ribosomal RNA, internal transcribed spacer 2, and large subunit ribosomal RNA". The stretch from base 1 to 120 matches the Rfam family "5.8S ribosomal RNA", at positions 35 to 154 of the family's 154-position model. The record is from RNAcentral.
GAUGAAGAACGUAGUGAAAUGCGAUAAGUAAUGUGAAUUGCAGAAUUCAGUGAAUCAUCGAAUCUUUGAACACACAUUGCGCCCCCUGGUAUUCCGGGGGGCAUGCCUGUCCGAGCGUCAUUACAACCCUCAAGCUCAGCUUGGUGUUGGGCCCCGCCGCCCCGGCGGGCCCUAAAGUCAGUGGCGGUGCCGUCCGGCUCCGAGCGUAGUAAUUCUUCUCGCUCUGGAGGUCCGGUCGUGUGCUCGCCAGCAACCCCCAAUUUUUUUCAGGUUGACCUCGGAUCAGGUAGGGAUACCCGCUGAACUUAAGCAUAUCAAUAAGCGGAGGA